Molecule: small RNA, 124 nt
Filed under: Arabidopsis thaliana (thale cress)
Lineage: Eukaryota; Viridiplantae; Streptophyta; Magnoliopsida; Brassicales; Brassicaceae
Description: ATSL291590
Source: RNAcentral
CUUUGGGCCUGAUUACAAAGGUUUAACCGAAGCCUAUCAAGCAGAUAAGAGACGAGAUGAGAUUGUUAGAGCAUCUCCAUCGGCAAAAGUGGUAGAGAGUAUCUCAAAAAGUAAAUAAAUUAAU